Molecule: ribosomal RNA, 253 nt
Filed under: uncultured bacterium
Lineage: Bacteria
Description: partial 16S ribosomal RNA
Rfam family: Bacterial small subunit ribosomal RNA
Source: RNAcentral
UACGGAGGGGGCUAGCGUUGUUCGGAAUUACUGGGCGUAAAGCGCGCGUAGGCGGCUUUGUAAGUUAGAGGUGAAAGCCCAGGGCUCAACCCUGGAAUUGCCUUUAAGACUGCAUCGCUUGAACAUCGGAGAGGUAAGUGGAAUUCCGAGUGUAGAGGUGAAAUUCGUAGAUAUUCGGAAGAACACCAGUGGCGAAGGCGACUCACUGGACACAUAUUGACGCUGAGGUGCGAAAGCGUGGGGAGCAAACAGG